UGCUCCCACCACUCUACCGCAUGCUAACAAGCACUUUGAAGUACUAACAACCGCGCGAAUCGUGUGCAAACACGCAGCUUUUCAUAUCACGGGAGUAGACGGAGGAGCGAUUCACCACUCGGCACAGAACAACAAACUGCGAAGCAAGACACCCGUUGGAGAGAAUUGGCCGGACAGACGCAUGCCGCUAUGCUGUUGAGAUUCUGAUCAUGGCCGAGCACCACCUGCGAAGUUUGCCGAGGUGAGCAGUUGGAGUAUCUGGAGUGAUCGGUCCGCUGAUCCGAUUGUUGUGGCUGUGACCGGGUAAGGAUGUGAGCAGCUGCCAGGAAGAAGCCAUUCCACCGCGUCUGCAUGGCCAGACAGCCACGACGUUCAGCUGAUGUGUUUAUGGUACUGUUAACCAGGCUUGAAACCAUACUGAUGACGACUAGACAGUGGCAAUUUAAAAAUUAUUUGUGGUGCAGCCGGUUGAGAUCAUGGUAAGCAAUGCCAGUCGGCAUAGCACUCUCCUUUUAGAGAGUGUCAGCCAUGCCGCACACAUGAUGGAAGACCACGUUCAUGCCUUCAGUCCGAGCAGGGCAUGCCUUCAGUGAAACUGUGCAAUGUUCUCCGAAUAGUAGAAACGGAAUACUUUGUCUUGGUCUUCGCACUCGGUAGUAUCUAGAAUAUGGGCCGGCCGCAGCCCUGGUGCCUCAAGUUUUCAUGAAAGGCCCCAAAAUACUUUUUUUGGACCAAAAGAGCUUUACGAAAAUGCUCCAAGUUUCGCAUUUUCCACACUUUAAUAUUGGAAACCAGAAUAUAACGCGUACAAAUAAAAGAAGGAGCCAGAGGAUUCCAUAGCGGAUACAUGUAAGUCAGUGUAUUCUGUCGGCGUGCUGCAAGAUAUACGGAAAUGGCCAAACGAAACAUGUCCAAACUGGGGCAUGAAGUCAUAGAUGCUUCCACAACUGGUAGUCGCAGUUCCCACGCCGAUGAUGUCGGAAGAUGCAACCACGUCAAGUCAUGUCCUCGCUAUAUCAAAGUACAUGUAGCAAGACUUCUACUUGAAGUCUACAGCUAGAGCAUGUAGACUAAUAUGCCAACCACUCAACUCUACUUUGCAUCCAAACAGCAGUUCGAAAAAUGCAAGCAAUUCCCCAAAAUAGCCAAACAUGGUUAAAUAGCUUAGAAGGCUUUUUCUUAUGAGUCCCUAAAAUUAUGUCAAUUUCCAACAUUUGGUUGAAUCGGUCUCUUAUCUAUAUAUAUAUAAAGUAGCAUUUGAAAAAGAAAAGGAAAAUCAACCAAUAGUUCGGCCCAGUGAGCCAUCAUCAAGAACCAAACUGCUGCCAUUGGCGUAAAUGGCUGAAAAGGUUUUCCCUUUUAAAAGUUAAAAUAUUCUAAA
This is a long non-coding RNA of Sycon ciliatum, 1381 nucleotides long. RefSeq lists it as uncharacterized. The transcript is spliced from 3 exons. The record is from RefSeq and is a predicted model, not a curated record. NCBI's taxonomy places the organism in Eukaryota, Metazoa, Porifera, Calcarea, Leucosolenida, Sycettidae.